Molecule: ribosomal RNA, 910 nt
Filed under: uncultured archaeon
Lineage: Archaea
Description: bacterial SSU rRNA
Rfam family: Archaeal small subunit ribosomal RNA
Source: RNAcentral
UUCCGGUUGAUCCUGCCGGACCCGACUGCUAUCAGAGUGGGACUAAGCCAUGCGAGUUAACGUAGCAACGUGGCAUACGGCUCAGUAACACGUGGUCAACAUACCCAGAGGACGUGGAUAACCUCGGGAAACUGAGGAUAAACCGCGAUAGACCAUAAUUUCUGGAAUGAUUUAUGGUUCAAAUCUACAUGGCCUCUGGAUUGGACUGCGGCCGAUCAGGCUGUUGGUGAGGUAAUGGCCCACCAAACCUGAAACCGGUACGGGCUCUGAGAGGAGAAGCCCGGAGAUGGGCACUGAGACAAGGGCCCAGGCCCUAUGGGGCGCAGCAGGCGCGAAAUCUUUGCAAUAGGCGAAAGCCUGACAAGGUUACUCUGAGUGAUCUCCGCUAAGGAAAUCUUUUGACACCUCUAAAAAUGGUGUAGAAUAAGGGGUGGGCAAGCCUGGUGUCAGCCGCCGCGGUAAUACCAGCACCCCGAGUGGUCGGGACGAUUAUUGGGCCUAAAGCAUCCGUAGCCGGUUCCUUAAGUCCUCCGUUAAAUCCACCUGCUUAACAGAUGGGCUGCGGAGGAUACUAUAGAGCUAGGAGGCGGGAGAGGCAAGCGGUACUCAGUGGGUAGGGGUAAAAUCCGUUGAUCCAUUGAAGACCACCAGUGGCGAAGGCGGCUUGCCAGAACGCGCUCGACGGUGAGGGAUGAAAGCUGGGGGAGCAAACCGGAUUAGAUACCCGGGUAGUCCCAGCUGUAAACGAUGCAGACUCGGUGAUGAACAGGCUUCGUGCCUGUUCAGUGCCGCAGGGAAGCCGUUAAGUCUGCCGCCUGGGGAGUACGGUCGCAAGACUGAAGCUUAAGGGAAUUGGCGGGGGAGCACCACAAGGGGUGAAGCCUGCGGUUCAAUUGGAUUCAACGCCGGA